This 289-nucleotide unclassified non-coding RNA is filed under the name uncultured fungus. RNAcentral's name for it is "partial contains 5.8S ribosomal RNA, internal transcribed spacer 2, and large subunit ribosomal RNA". The stretch from base 1 to 52 matches the Rfam family "5.8S ribosomal RNA", at positions 103 to 154 of the family's 154-position model. The record is from RNAcentral. Lineage: Eukaryota; Fungi.
AACGCACCUUGCGCUCCUUGGUAUUCCGAGGAGCAUGCCUGUUUGAGUGUCAUUAAAUUCUCAACUAUACAAGUUUUUAUAACCUGUAUGGCUUGGAUCUUGGGAUUUGCGGGCUCUUACGAGUCGGCUUUCCUUAAAUGCAUUAGCAGAGCUUUUGCCGCUAACCUCUAGUGUGAUAAUUAUCUACGCUAUUGAGUUGCGACAUAUCGAGGCUUAGCUUCUAAUCGUCCGCAAGGACAAUACUUGACAAUCUGACCUCAAAUCAGGUAGGACUACCCGCUGAACUUAA